CCCAUCCAUGAUUGGCAGGCGAUUACCCCAGGGCAUGGAGACGAGAAGAUCCAGAAGCUCUCGAAGCUAGGAGGAGACUGAAUAUCGAGUCGAGGUAGAGAUUGUUAGAAUUUGAUGCCUCAAGAUUCGAUCUACAUUGAGCCCACAGUGAGGUCCGUGAUGAAAAAUAGAGUCCAACGAGAAUAAGAUCACCCCAAAUAG
This 201-nucleotide long non-coding RNA is filed under the name Elaeis guineensis (African oil palm). Its description in RNAcentral is "long non-coding RNA (EGUI_LNC046892)". The record is from RNAcentral. Lineage: Eukaryota; Viridiplantae; Streptophyta; Magnoliopsida; Arecales; Arecaceae.